CAGCAGCCGCGGUAACACGAAGGGUGCAAGCGUUAAUCGGAAUUACUAGGCGUAAAGCGUGCGUAGGCGGUUUGUUAAGUCUGUUGUGAAAUCCCCGGGCUCAACCUGGGAAUGGCAAUGGAUACUGGCAAGCUAGAGUGUGUCAGAGGAUGGUGGAAUUCCCGGUGUAGCGGUGAAAUGCGUAGAGAUCGGGAGGAACAUCAGUGGCGAAGGCGGCCAUCUGGGACAACACUGACGCUGAGGCACGAAAGCGUGGGGAGCAAACAGGAUUAGAUACCCCAGUAGUCCCUGUCUCUUAUAC
Molecule: ribosomal RNA, 301 nt
Filed under: uncultured bacterium
Lineage: Bacteria
Description: partial 16S ribosomal RNA
Rfam family: Bacterial small subunit ribosomal RNA
Source: RNAcentral